Mesocricetus auratus (golden hamster) is the source of this 896-nucleotide long non-coding RNA. RefSeq lists it as uncharacterized. The transcript has 4 exons. The record is from RefSeq and is a predicted model, not a curated record. NCBI's taxonomy places the organism in Eukaryota, Metazoa, Chordata, Mammalia, Rodentia, Cricetidae.
AUACAGGACAAAAGAGAAGGUGUGUGCAGCCUCACUGAACUUGGGUGAUUUGACAUGGCUCUGGACAUCUUCAGAAGUAUAAGCUGUGGAAGAUUUGGAAUGUGAUGAAAAUCAGUAACAAUGGAAGGAAUUAGAAGGCGAAUAGUGGAACCAAAAAAAUUAAAGGCAAAUGCCUUCCUUGAAAUCCAUUUUAGAUGCAAGAGACUUUGUGAGUCAAGAUGUGAAGAAACAAAAAACCAGACGUGAAAAGGCAAGCCGUUGCUUUGGACAUGUGUUCCUGGUUACGAUGGAUGGGCAGCUCCCAGCAGAAAACAACAAGCCUAUGGAUGGCUGAAGCCUACUGGAACCUCCAAUAAAGCCUUUCUUGCUUUUAAGUUGACCAUCUCAGCAGCAAACUAACAGUCACAUUUCCUGAUUCCUGAGUCCACCCCAGUACCCUUCUUAUGAACCGCUCUAAACUGUUCCUAACUUUAUUCCUACUACAGAAGGAGAAAAAAAGGCCGUUUUUUGUCAUGGCCACUCUUUGCUGGGUUUUGUUUGUUGAGCAUUUGCCCUUCUCCCCAAUGUUCUUUUGUGUUUAGGUGAGAUUUUGUUGGUGGUAGUUAUGUUUUUUAACAUUCAAAAUAUAGCUCAGGCUAGCUUCACACUCAUUAUUUAGACAUGAAUAGCUUUGACUCCCUGAUCAUCGUUCCUCUGGGUACUAGAUGACAGGUGUGGGCCACUAUCCCUAUACUUUCUCUUGUUUACUUUGUCUCACAGAAUGAGCACUACUGAAGACAUUGCAAGACUGGGUGAACUUCAGUUAUCGCUGUCAUACGGGACACACAUUUAUAUGCAGAAUAUUUAUAUUGUAUAUAUGUAAUACAGUAUUUAUUAAAAGUUGUUCAUUUAAACAA